RNAcentral lists this ribosomal RNA (976 nucleotides) under human gut metagenome. RNAcentral describes it as "bacterial SSU rRNA". It matches the Rfam family "Bacterial small subunit ribosomal RNA", at positions 89 to 1069 of the family's 1533-position model. The record is from RNAcentral.
UGGCGACCGGCGCACGGGUGAGUAACACGUAUCCAACCUGCCGUCUACUCUUGGACAGCCUUCUGAAAGGAAGAUUAAUACAAGAUGGCAUCAUGAGUCCGCAUGUUCACAUGAUUAAAGGUAUUCCGGUAGACGAUGGGGAUGCGUUCCAUUAGAUAGUAGGCGGGGUAACGGCCCACCUAGUCUUCGAUGGAUAGGGGUUCUGAGAGGAAGGUCCCCCACAUUGGAACUGAGACACGGUCCAAACUCCUACGGGAGGCAGCAGUGAGGAAUAUGGGUCAAUGGGCGAGAGCCUGAACCAGCCAAGUAGCGUGAAGGAUGACUGCCCUAUGGGUUGUAAACUUCUUUUAUAAAGGAAUAAAGUCGGGUAUGCAUACCCGUUUGCAUGUACUUUAUGAAUAAGGAUCGGCUAACUCCGUGCCAGCAGCCGCGGUAAUACGGAGGAUCCGAGCGUUAUCCGGAUUUAUUGGGUUUAAAGGGAGCGUAGAUGGAUGUGUAAGUCAGUUGUGAAAGUUUGCGGCUCAACCGUAAAAUUGCAGUUGAUACUGGAUAUCUUGAGUGCAGUUGAGGCAGGCGGAAUUCGUGGUGUAGCGGUGAAAUGCUUAGAUAUCACGAAGAACUCCGAUUGCGAAGGCAGCUUGCUGGACUGUAACUGACGCUGAUGCUCGAAAGUGUGGGUAUCAAACAGGAUUAGAUCCCCUGGUAGUCCACACGGUAAACGAUGAAUACUCGCUGUUUGCGAUAUACUGCAAGCGGCCAAGCGAAAGCGUUAAGUAUUCCACCUGGGGAGUACGCCGGCAACGGUGAAACUCAAAGGAAUUGACGGGGGCCCGCACAAGCGGAGGAACAUGUGGUUUAAUUCGAUGAUACGCGAGGAACCUUACCCGGGCUUGAAUUGCAACUGAAUGAUGUGGAGACAUGUCAGCCGCAAGGCAGUUGUGAAGGUGCUGCAUGGUUGUCGUCAGCUCGUGCCGUG